CGGGGACGAUAAUGACGGUACCCGCAGAAUAAGCCCCGGCUAACUUCGUGCCAGCAGCCGCGGUAAUACGAAGGGGGCUAGCGUUGUUCGGAAUCACUGGGCGUAAAGGGCGCGUAGGCGGUUUGUACAGUCGGGCGUGAAAUUCCUGGGCUCAACCUGGGGGCUGCGUUCGAUACGUGCGGACUUGAGUUCGGAAGAGGGUCGUGGAAUUCCCAGUGUAGAGGUGAAAUUCGUAGAUAUUGGGAAGAACACCGGUGGCGAAGGCGGCGACCUGGUCCGAUACUGACGCUGAGGCGCGAAAGCGUGGGGAGCAAACAGGAUUAGAUACCCUGGUAGUCCACGCCGUAAACGAUGUGUGCUGGAUGUUGGGUGACCUAGUCACUCAGUGUCGUAGCUAACGCGAUAAGCACACCGCCUGGGGAGUACGGCCGCGAGGUUG
This 439-nucleotide ribosomal RNA is filed under the name uncultured bacterium. Its description in RNAcentral is "bacterial SSU rRNA". It matches the Rfam family "Bacterial small subunit ribosomal RNA", at positions 440 to 896 of the family's 1533-position model. The record is from RNAcentral.